GACGAACGCUGGCGGCGUGCCUAAUACAUGCAAGUUGAGCGCUGAAGGUUGGUACUUGUACCAACUGGAUGAGCAGCGAACGGGUGAGUACGGGUGGGGGAUUUGCCUUUUAGCGGGGGACAACAUUUGGAAACGAAUGCUUAUUCCGCAUUAAAACUUUUAACACAAGUUUUUAGGUUUAAAGAAGCCAUUGCAACAAUCAAAGAAUAUCCCGCGUUUUAUUAGCUAGUUUGUGAGGUAAAGGCUCACCAAGGCGAUGAUACAUAACCGACCUGAGAGGGUGAUCGGCCACAUUGGGACUGAGACAAGGCCCAAACUCCUACGGGAGGCAGCAGUAGGGAAUCUUCGGCAAUGGACGAAAGUCUGACCGAGCAACGCCGCGUGAGUGAAGAAGGUUUUCGGAUCGUAAAACUCUGUUGGUAGAGAAGAACGUUGGUGAGAGUGGAAAGCUCAUCAAGUGACGGUAACUACCCAGAAAGGGACGGCUAACUACGUG
Molecule: ribosomal RNA, 496 nt
Filed under: uncultured bacterium
Lineage: Bacteria
Description: partial 16S ribosomal RNA
Rfam family: Bacterial small subunit ribosomal RNA
Source: RNAcentral